UACGAAGGGGGCUAGUGUUGUUCGGAAUUACUGGGCGUAAAGGGCGCGUAGGCGGUGUGUCAAGUCAGGCGUGAAAGCCCCGGGCUCAACCUGGGAACCGCAUUUGUGACUGCAUAGCUGGAGUACGGCAGAGGGGGAUGGAAUUCCGCGUGUAGCAGUGAAAUGCGUAGAUAUGCGGAGGAACACCGAUGGCGAAGGCAGUCCCCUGGGCCUGUACUGACGCUCAUGCACGAAAGCGUGGGGAGCAAACAGG
RNAcentral lists this ribosomal RNA (253 nucleotides) under uncultured bacterium. RNAcentral describes it as "partial 16S ribosomal RNA". It matches the Rfam family "Bacterial small subunit ribosomal RNA", at positions 524 to 776 of the family's 1533-position model. The record is from RNAcentral.